RNAcentral lists this small nuclear RNA (114 nucleotides) under Bos grunniens (domestic yak). Its description in RNAcentral is "U2 spliceosomal RNA (ENSBGRG00000021285.1)". It matches the Rfam family "U2 spliceosomal RNA". Rfam says of the family: U2 is a small nuclear RNA (snRNA) component of the spliceosome (involved in pre-mRNA splicing). Complementary binding between U2 snRNA (in an area lying towards the 5' end but 3' to hairpin I) and the branchpoint sequence (BPS) of the intron results the bulging out of an unpaired adenosine, on the BPS, which initiates a nucleophilic attack at the intronic 5' splice site, thus starting the first of two transesterification reactions that mediate splicing. Lineage: Eukaryota; Metazoa; Chordata; Mammalia; Artiodactyla; Bovidae. The record is from Rfam by way of RNAcentral.
AUCGCUUCUCAGCCUUUUGGCUAAAAUCAAGUGUAGAAUCAACUCACUAUUUUUUUUUUUUUUUAAUGCUGUCAGAAUUUUUCCUGGAAUUUAUCUGGGGUAAAAUUACAUCCU